Long non-coding RNA from Hemicordylus capensis (graceful crag lizard), 2198 nucleotides. RefSeq lists it as uncharacterized. The record is from RefSeq and is a predicted model, not a curated record. NCBI's taxonomy places the organism in Eukaryota, Metazoa, Chordata, Lepidosauria, Squamata, Cordylidae. The transcript has 2 exons.
GGGGGGCCCAGGAGCACCUCUGGGCACAGGCCAAGAUUGUCGAUCACCGGAGGCCGGACCUGCUGGAGGGCUCCCACUUGAUUCCUAGGUCGCCAGUGGACCCGAGGACUGUGACAGUGGCGCUGCGUUCCACGGGCAUCCCCUCGGAAGGUGUGGAGAUGAGCAUGGAGAGGGAGAGGGAGGGGCUCACCACGCCUCAGAAAGUGUGGGCUGAGAUGGGCGAUUGGCCUGGAGAAUACAGGGCGGCGGUGUGUUUCCACAGGGGCCCAGUCACGGGCAGGAUCCGCCGCCACCUGCCCAAGGACUUCUUCCUGGGCUUAGAGAGGGUGACCGGAGGUGCCGAGAGUGUGAGGGGGUGCAGGAGGCAGGAGUACCAGAGGCAGCCAACUGGUGCGUCUGGACAGGGGCGGAGGGGAGGCAUCACCAUUCCUGCUGGCCCCCCCCACCACAGGAGUGCAUGGAGGAGAAGGGGCCACAGGAGCGGCAGCGGGGGGGGGAGAAGGAGUUUGGACAGUGGCCAGAAGAGAGGAGCUCAGUGCUCAAAGAUGCGUGGGGCCACCCCCUCCUCGGACCGAGCGAGGGCAUCCGAUGCAGACAUGGCCGUGGCAGCAGAUGACGUGGAAGUAGCAGAGGAGGUGAGCAUGUUGGCAGACAGGGAGGACAUUGAGGUCCCCAGAGGAGAAAGGAACCCCUGUGCUUUGCUGGCUCAUGGGAGUGAUGCGCGGAUGGAGAGGCACAGCGCUCUCCUUUGGACUUGGACCUUUGGCCGGAGGGCUGCUUCUCCUCCUCCUCCCUGCUUGAGUCAUCCACGGGGGAGUGGGGGAGGAGGAGGAGGAGGAGGACAGGAGUUCAGAGGGCUCGGCGACCACCUACACGAACACUGAUGACAGUCAGACGGUUGUAUGCAGGAGGGCGCGGCGGCGCUAUAGGCACCAAGGGCGAGUGGAUUGGUGCCGGAGGCGGGCGGGGAGGCCCCUCAUGACUGAGCAACCCGAACGGCUCUGCUGGGAGCUGGGCUUCUGGAAAGACAAGCUGGAGGAGUGGAAAAGCAAGCAGAAGGCAUUGGUGCCAGAGCCAGCUAGCCCUCAGCACCGGCGCGAGGAAUGUGUUACUCUCCUGGAGAACAAAGCCGACCCACAAGAAGUGAGGCAUCUCAGGCAGCAGAAUUCUCUCUGCCCUGCCUUUGCCUUCACAGUAGUUGAACCUUCAGAUUCCAGAACCCAGACGGAAGAUUUGAAGAAAUGAAGUGAUUUUUUUUCACCCCUGCAAGUGGCAAGGUGUUCCAAAGUACCGGGUUGCAAUUCACCUUGGAAAUUUCCCAGCUAAAGGGGAUUAGUCUGGGGCAAUAGAUGGCUGACUCCCCCCCCCCUUUUGGUGGGGAAUCCUGGGGUUUCCAUGGCUACUACUUUUGUUCUUAAUCCAGCUACUUUACUUCCUUUUGAGCUUACAGAAGACCAAGAACAUGAUUGCUUGCAAGCUGUGGACUGCAUCUAUGCCAAGCCAUCCUGAUCUUAAAGAUGAACCUCUCCAAAAUGCAGACUUUGAGCUGUACAUGGAUGGAGGCAGCUUCAUGUAAGAUGGACAAUGUAAGCUGGCUAUGCAGUAGUGACUGACCAUGAAGUCCUGGUGGUGGAAUCUCUUUCUCCAGGUAUCUCAGCACAGCUUGCAGAGCUCAUCACCUUCAAGGUAAUUUUUACACAACUCAUGGGGCCACUUGGAAAGAAAGAAGAUUUUAACAGUGGGAAACAAGGAAGUCAAGUAUGGGACACAGAUAUCAGAACUCUAGACUGCUGUUACACGACUAGAAGAGGUUGCAGUCAUCCAUACCAGAGGUCACCAGAGGGAAAUGACCCAGUGCCAAAGGGUAAUUGGAUGGCAGAUGCUGCAGCUAAAACCGCUGCUCCUUCUGUUCCUGUUUCCAAGCAUCUUGGAUUCCUGUGCUAACUAUCUUGGCACAACCCCCCCACAUAUUCAGAAAAAGGACAUUGACUUUGCACCACAGCAGGGGGCGCAUUUAGAAGAGGAUGGCUGGUAAAGAACUCUUUAAUGUGAUCCGGAUUGUCAAAUGACCCAGCAAUCUUGCUUUUGUGUACCUGUGAUAGACUUGUGUACUUGCUUGAUUGCAGGAUGCUAAGGGAAUAUGCUUGUAUCAGACCCGUUCAACUUCUUGCCGUAAAUAAACCUGGCCAAUGAUAGUG